AUUGAACGCUGGCGGCAGGCCUAACACAUGCAAGUCGAGUGAGCGGCGGACGGGCGAGUAAUGUAUGGGGACUGCCCGAUAGAGGGGGAUAACUACUGGAAACGGUGGCUAAUACCGCAUACUGUCGGAUAACCCAUAUGGGAUUAGCUAGUGGGUAAGGUAAUGGGUUACCUAGGCGACGAUCCCUAGCUGGUCUGAGAGGAUGGUCAGCGACACUGAGACUGAAACACGGCCCAGACUCCUACGGAGGCAGCAGUGGGGAGUAGUGCACAAGGGGAGCAAGCCUGGUGCAUACAUGCCUCGUGUAUGAAGAAGGCCCGAGGGUUGUGAAGUACUUUCAGUCGGGAGGCGUUACCGACAGAAGAAGCACCGGCUAACUCCGUGCCAGCAGCCGCGGUAAUUC
Molecule: ribosomal RNA, 403 nt
Filed under: uncultured bacterium
Lineage: Bacteria
Description: partial 16S ribosomal RNA
Rfam family: Bacterial small subunit ribosomal RNA
Source: RNAcentral